Molecule: non-coding RNA, 74 nt
Organism: Danionella cerebrum
Lineage: Eukaryota; Metazoa; Chordata; Actinopteri; Cypriniformes; Danionidae
Source: the annotation of a GenBank genome assembly
GGUGCUGUGGCUUAGUUGUUUAAAGUGUCUGUCUCAUAAACAGAAGAUCCAAGGUUAAAAUCCCAGUGGUUCCU